This 466-nucleotide ribosomal RNA is filed under the name uncultured bacterium. RNAcentral's name for it is "partial 16S ribosomal RNA". It matches the Rfam family "Bacterial small subunit ribosomal RNA", at positions 28 to 505 of the family's 1533-position model. The record is from RNAcentral.
GACGAACGCUGGCGGCGUGCUUAACACAUGCAAGUCGAACGGAAAGGCCCUGCUUUUGUGGGGUGCUCGAGUGGCGAACGGGUGAGUAACACGGGAGUAACCUGCCCUUGACUUUGGGAUAACUUCAGGAAACUGGGGCUAAUACCGGAUAGGAGCUCCUGCUGCAUGGUGGGGGUUGGAAAGUUUCGGCGGUUGGGGAUGGGCUCGCGGCUUAUCAGCUUGUUGGUGGGGUAGUGGCUUACCAAGGCUUGGACGGGUAGCCGGCCUGGGAGGGUGACCGGCCACAUUGGGACUGAGAUGCGCAGCAGACUACUAGGGGAGGCAGCAGUGGGGAAUAUUGCACAAGGGGCGGCCGGCUGAUGCAGCAACGCCGCGUGCGGGAUGGCGGCCUUCGGGUUGUAAACCGCUUUCGGCUGUGACGAAGCGUGAGUGAGGGUAAAGAGUAAAGAAGCACCGGCUAACUACG